This 465-nucleotide ribosomal RNA is filed under the name uncultured bacterium. Its description in RNAcentral is "partial 16S ribosomal RNA". It matches the Rfam family "Bacterial small subunit ribosomal RNA", at positions 338 to 795 of the family's 1533-position model. The record is from RNAcentral.
CCUACGGGAGGCAGCAGUGGGGAAUAUUGCGCAAUGGGCGAAAGCCUGACGCAGCGACGCCGCGUGAGGGAUGAAGGUCUUCGGAUCGUAAACCUCUGUCAGCAGGGAAGAACGGUCACUGUGCUAAUCAGCAGUGCAUUGACGGUACCCGCAAAGGAAGCACCGGCUAACUCCGUGCCAGCAGCCGCGGUAAUACGGAGGGUGCGAGCGGUAAUCGGAAUUACUGGGCGUAAAGCGCUCGUAGGCGGUAUGUCAAGUCAAGGGUGAAAUCCCCGCGCUCAACGUGGGAACUGCCUUUGAAACUGGCAAACUAGAGUGUGUGAGAGGAUAGUGGAAUUCCAGGUGUAGGAGUGAAAUCCGUAGAUAUCUGGAGGAACAUCAGUGGCGAAGGCGACUAUCUGGCACAUAACUGACGCUGAGGAGCGAAAGCGUGGGUAGCAAACAGGAUUAGAUACCCUUGUAGUC